CGGACCGGCGCACGGGUGCGUAACGCGUAUGCAACUACCUUUAACAGGGGGAUAACACUGAGAAAUUGGUACUAAUACCCCAUAAUAUCAUAGAAGGCAUCUUUUAUGGUUGAAAAUUCCGAUGGUUAGAGAUGGGCAUGCGUUGUAUUAGCUAGUUGGUGGAGUAACGGCUCACCAAGGCGACGAUACAUAGGGGGACUGAGAGGUUAACCCCCACACUGGUACUGAGACACGGACCAG
RNAcentral lists this ribosomal RNA (240 nucleotides) under uncultured bacterium. RNAcentral describes it as "partial 16S ribosomal RNA". It matches the Rfam family "Bacterial small subunit ribosomal RNA", at positions 91 to 334 of the family's 1533-position model. The record is from RNAcentral.